This 159-nucleotide ribosomal RNA is filed under the name Aeromonas caviae. RNAcentral describes it as "partial 23S ribosomal RNA". It matches the Rfam family "Bacterial large subunit ribosomal RNA", at positions 2772 to 2925 of the family's 2925-position model. The record is from RNAcentral. Lineage: Bacteria; Pseudomonadati; Pseudomonadota; Gammaproteobacteria; Aeromonadales; Aeromonadaceae.
UGAAAGCAUCUAAGCGGGAAGCGAGCCCUGAGAUGAGUCAUCCCUGACCCCUUGAGGGUCCUAAAGGGCCGUUGGAGACCACAACGUUGAUAGGUGGGGUGUGUAAGUGCAGCGAUGCAUUGAGCUAACCCAUACUAAUUACCCGUGAGGCUUAACCAU